GUUAAUGUAGCUUAAAUAAAGCAAGGCACUGAAAAUGCCUAGACGGGUUAUAACCCCAUAAACA
Molecule: transfer RNA, 64 nt
Filed under: Cheirogaleus sibreei (Sibree's dwarf lemur)
Lineage: Eukaryota; Metazoa; Chordata; Mammalia; Primates; Cheirogaleidae
Description: tRNA-Phe
Rfam family: tRNA
About the family: Transfer RNA (tRNA) molecules are approximately 80 nucleotides in length. Their secondary structure includes four short double-helical elements and three loops (D, anti-codon, and T loops).
Source: RNAcentral